GCACCCUAUUGGCAAAAAAAAAAAAAAAAAUAUAUAUAUAUAUAUAUAUAUAUAUAUAUAUAUAUAUAUAUAUAUAUAUAUAUAUAUUAACAUGGCUAAAUUGUUUUUAAUUCGUGGUUUAAGGAUGUUUUUUUUUAUUUUUUUGCAGGGAAGAAUGACAAAAUUACAUAUAUUACUGAAUUUAUUUGUUCCUUGAAAUCAAAAUGGCAAAUUCUAAUUUUUUGUUAAUGAAAAAUUGCAGUGUUUAAUAUAAGUGAUUUAUCCAUGCAUGUCUUUUUUCUUCUUCAAUUUUUUGUCCUUAUAAUCUUCUAUCAAAAAAUGUCCCCUUUCCCUUGCAACAUUCUUCUUCUCAGACUGUUUUUACACAAAGUGCAAAUUUUGCAUUUUUUUUUCUAACCACCUAAAUCCAUUCUGGUACAUAACUUCUCAAAAUCCUAUCAGUUAGCAAUGGCUAAAAUUCUAUCAAGCCCUCUCACUAAAUAUCCUGUUUCACUCGGAAAUACGUCACAAUAUGGAAGUGAAAUGUGUUGUGAAGGCCAUUUCACACUGAGUUUUCCAGUGAACUCCAGCUUCCUGUUCUAAGCUCCACACCUGAAACUAGUCACAAAGCCCAUCUCACGCCAUCAGUUUCUCUCUCUCUUUCUCUGAGUUUUUGUCUUUCUCUAGGGGCCUUGUGCCUGACACCGCUGUCACCCACCCUCCCGCGUCCUCCCCCCCGAAUCGACAUGCUCCACUUCAUUUUACGAGCAGCACACUGCACUUCACUAAAAGAAGAAAAAAGAAUGGGAGAAAACUCACUGAAAAAAACAGAGGUUUAGAGAGGGUGACUGUGUGUAGAAGAGAAAGAGAAAAAGAGGGAGAGGUGUUUGUUGGAAACAGAGCGCUGAAGGAAUAACUGGAUGACUGAAGACAAGACGGUGCACAGCAGAGGGAGUGAAAACAUCUGAGCUGAUGCAUGAGGGAGCGCAGGACAUGCUCUUCUCCUCAGCUCACAUCACAAAAUGGCCGCCCACAGACGCCCAUCUACCCCGAGGCUGGAAACCAGAACCAGACCAGAUCAAUGAACCCAUCAUAGUGCCAGCCGGCUGGCGCUUCAGGGUGCUGGACUACGCAGGCAGCAGGUGACACGGAUUUCAAUAAAAGGGAUUAUGGAUGUGAGGACUGCAGAGACGGAGAACACACACAUCUAACAUACAUGUGCACACAUCUUUUCCGCAUAUGCACAGUGCUAUUUAACAACACCAGCACCCCUUAUCCCAGUGAAUUGUGUGUUUGAAUUAUACAUAGAAUUGUGCUAGGAGAAAAAAAAAUAUCCCUUAAUGAACUGCUGUGCUAACUUUAAGCUACUUAAUAAUAGUAGUUUACAUUAGUUAUAUGUGCUUUUUGCAAAUCCGACAACUUUUGAAAGUUCAGUACUGGCCCAAUUAUUGGUGCUUCCCCAACUGUCCUGACAGGUAAUGUUGAGCGUAUCUCCCUAUAAUUGGAAAGAAGGGGGAAAUAGCAUUUGGCGAAACAUGCAAAUGUACAAAGAGCAUUCUCAACUACUUAUAUCAUUGACGUAGAUGAAGAUGUAAAGUUUAGCAGUUCGCAGUUUCGCAAAAACUCCUAACAAGAUGGUGUGGUACUAGUGUUUACGAGAUUAUGAACAUGUUUUAAUGAAGGCUCAAUGGUAUUGGCCACUUCAGUGGUCUGUCUGAGAUGUCCAAUCCCAAAUAAUUGUUUGCAUUGUCCUUCACCCCAUUGCUGCAAUACUUGAUUGUGUGAGUGUGUGUGUGUGUGUGUGCGCGCGCGUGUGUGUGUGUGUAGGUGGACAGAAGGCCUUGGCGUGACCUGCCACAGCCUC
This is a long non-coding RNA of Cyprinus carpio carpio, 1843 nucleotides long. The record is from Ensembl. NCBI's taxonomy places the organism in Eukaryota, Metazoa, Chordata, Actinopteri, Cypriniformes, Cyprinidae.